This 341-nucleotide ribosomal RNA is filed under the name uncultured bacterium. RNAcentral's name for it is "bacterial SSU rRNA". It matches the Rfam family "Bacterial small subunit ribosomal RNA", at positions 28 to 362 of the family's 1533-position model. The record is from RNAcentral.
GAUGAACGUUAGCGGGAGGCUUAAUACAUGCAAGUCGAGCGGUAAGUUUUUAUAGCAAUAUGAAGACCUAGAGCGGCGCACGGGUGAGUAACGCGUACACGACCUGGCCUAAACUGGGGGAUAGCCUUGGGAAACUGAGAGUAAUCCCGCAUGUGAUUAUGUUACUGAUGGUGGUAUAAUUAAAGCUUCGGCGGUUUAGGAUGGGUGUGCGUCUGAUUAGCUAGUUGGUAGUGUAACGGACUACCAAGGCGAUGAUCAGUAGGGGGCGUGAGAGCGUGACCCCCCACACGGGUACGUGAGACACGGACCCGGACUCCUACGGGAGGGCAGCAGUAAGGAAU